This 661-nucleotide long non-coding RNA is filed under the name Pan troglodytes (chimpanzee). RNAcentral describes it as "lincRNA". Lineage: Eukaryota; Metazoa; Chordata; Mammalia; Primates; Hominidae. The record is from RNAcentral.
GAAAGAUUAGCUGAGUUUUUCUGCUGACUUAACUGUUGAAGAGCAUCAUCCUCAGGCACUACCAAAAGUGUUUAGAGCACUCUGUUGAAAAUGGCAGUAUUUGAAGAAACUGGAUGUCACUUAAAAUAUGAUCCUUGGAUAAACAUCACAUGCUGCUGGCCUUCUUACAAAACGAGUGUGAGUGAAGUGCUUGGCUCUGCGAGAUGGUCCUGGAAUAUCUUCACCACUCUUCACAAUUACGUCCUCUUGCAUUCCCACUGAUCCUUCAGAAUUGUGUGGCCUUUCAACUUUCUGAAAGGCCUUCACUGUCUCUUAAUUCAAAUUCUCCACAUGUAAAUACAAGUCAGAUCACCUUACAAUUUAAUCUUUAAGCAAAACUGUAAAUCAUCAUUUCCCACGACAUUACAAUUGUUGGGGGAAAGGUGUUUGGUGUCACAUCUAAUGGCUUGAAAACUCGGAGCAUCUCUGGACACAGUCAAUAUCCAGGUCUCAAAUAUGCAUUUACUGUGUUUAUUAUAAUGACUGCCUUUGUAUUCACUGCAAUCAUUUUCUACUGUUUCUUCCUUUGUGUAAUCAUUUCUUCCCUUCCCCUCCAUUGUAUUUUUUUAGAGUAAUUCUAUAUUCUGUUUUUGAAUACACACUUCUCUUUCUUUUAAAAUAA